Non-coding RNA from Gossypium arboreum, 107 nucleotides. NCBI's taxonomy places the organism in Eukaryota, Viridiplantae, Streptophyta, Magnoliopsida, Malvales, Malvaceae. The record is from Rfam.
AUCCCAUGAUGAUGACACUUAUGCAAUAACUCCUUGAAUUGCUCCCAAGCCUUAUACAAAGACUCAUCAUCCAAUUGUUAGAAGGUUGUGAUCUCAUUCCUCAACUU